Molecule: ribosomal RNA, 455 nt
Filed under: uncultured bacterium
Lineage: Bacteria
Description: bacterial SSU rRNA
Rfam family: Bacterial small subunit ribosomal RNA
Source: RNAcentral
UACGGGAGGCAGCAGUGGGGAAUAUUGCACAAUGGGCGCAAGCCUGAUGCAGCCAUGCCGCGUGUAUGAAGAAGGCCUUCGGGUUGUAAAGUACUUUCAGUCGUGAGGAAGGUGUUAAGGUUAAUAACCUUAGCAAUUGACGUUAGCGACAGAAGAAGCACCGGCUAACUCCGUGCCAGCAGCCGCGGUAAUACGGAGGGUGCGAGCGUUAAUCGGAAUUACUGGGCGUAAAGGGCACGCAGGCGGUUAAUUAAGUUGGAUGUGAAAUCCCCGGGCUUAACCUGGGAAUGGCAUUCAAGACUGGUUAGCUAGAGUCUUGUAGAGGGGGUAGAAUUCCAUGGUGUAGCGGUGAAAUGCGUAGAGAUGUGGAGGAAUACCGGUGGCGAAGGCGGCCCCUGGACAAAGACCUGACGCUCAUGUGCGAAAGCGUGGGGAGCAAACAGGGAUUAGAUACC